AUCAAAAGCACCCUGGUCAAGCUGCAACUUUUGUUGAUCAUAUAAGGAGGGGGGUUGAAAUUGCAGCAGAUGACGAUGAUGCAUUACUCCUGUUUAGUGGUGGUGAGACUAGGAAAGAUGCCGGGCCAAGAAGUGAAGCUCAAAGUUACUGGACUGUUGCUGAAACUAAAGGGUGGUUUGGCAAACAAGAAAGUGUAAGAGGGAGGGCACUCACCGAAGAGCAUGCUAGAGACAGUUUUGAGAAUCUUCUCUUUAGU
RNAcentral lists this unclassified non-coding RNA (257 nucleotides) under Hevea brasiliensis (rubber tree). The record is from RNAcentral. Lineage: Eukaryota; Viridiplantae; Streptophyta; Magnoliopsida; Malpighiales; Euphorbiaceae.